UGAUUGAAUGAGUAAAAAGUUUAUUUGUCGAAAAGGAUAAAAAUGCAUAAGGAGCACGGUAUACACCUUAAAUUGGGAGAUUCAACUGCGAACCACAAAAAUGCUACAAAAGGAACGUGCAGCCCCUUCGAAACAUGCGAAAAAUAACUGAUGAGAGAGCAGCAUAUCCUCUGGACAUGGACAAAGCGUCUGCAUCAUACAAAAAUCGUUUGAAAGCUUUUUUUCAAUUUUACCUACCAAAAACAUGUGGAGAAAAUGAAAAAAAAAAAAACAUUG
This is a long non-coding RNA of Armigeres subalbatus, 276 nucleotides long. RefSeq lists it as uncharacterized. The record is from RefSeq and is a predicted model, not a curated record. NCBI's taxonomy places the organism in Eukaryota, Metazoa, Arthropoda, Insecta, Diptera, Culicidae. The transcript has 3 exons.